Non-coding RNA from Mycena leptocephala, 95 nucleotides. The record is from the annotation of a GenBank genome assembly. Lineage: Eukaryota; Fungi; Basidiomycota; Agaricomycetes; Agaricales; Mycenaceae.
GCACCGACGGUGUAUGGUACACUCGCCGACAGAAUGGGCUAUCAAUUGAGCAGUCGUUACAACGGCGGACUGGGGUUCGAUUCCCUGUCGGUGCA